UACAGAGGUCCCAAGCGUUGUUCGGAUUUACUGGGCGUAAAGGGUGCGUAGGCGGUUGGGUAAGUCUGACGUGAAAUCUCCGGGCCUAACCCGGAAACUGCGUUGGAUACUAUCCGACUAGAGGAAUGGAGGGGAGACUGGAAUACUUGGUGUAGCAGUGAAAUGCGUAGAUAUCAAGUGGAACACCAGUGGCGAAGGCGAGUCUCUGGACAUUUCCUGACGCUGAGGCACGAAAGCCAGGGGAGCAAACGGG
Molecule: ribosomal RNA, 253 nt
Filed under: uncultured bacterium
Lineage: Bacteria
Description: partial 16S ribosomal RNA
Rfam family: Bacterial small subunit ribosomal RNA
Source: RNAcentral